UCCCACCUGACCCCAUGCCGAACUCAGAAGUGAAACGCCGUAGCGCCGAUGGUAGUGUGGGGGCUCCCCAUGCGAGAGUAGGGAACUGCCAGGC
RNAcentral lists this ribosomal RNA (94 nucleotides) under Escherichia coli. The record is from RNAcentral. Lineage: Bacteria; Pseudomonadati; Pseudomonadota; Gammaproteobacteria; Enterobacterales; Enterobacteriaceae.